UACGUAGGGGGCAAGCGUUGUCCGGAUUCAUUGGGCGUAAAGAGCGUGUAGGCGGCCAGGUAGGUCGGUUGUGAAAACUGGAGGCUCAACCUUCAGAGGUCGACCGAAACCAUCUGGCUAGAGUCCGGGAGAGGAGAGUGGAAUUCCUGGUGUAGCGGUGAAAUGCGCAGAUAUCAGGAAGAACACCAAUGGCGAAAGCAGCUUUCUGGGAUGGUACUGACGCUGAGACGCGAAAGCGUGGGGAGCGAACAGG
This 253-nucleotide ribosomal RNA is filed under the name uncultured bacterium. RNAcentral's name for it is "partial 16S ribosomal RNA". It matches the Rfam family "Bacterial small subunit ribosomal RNA", at positions 524 to 776 of the family's 1533-position model. The record is from RNAcentral.